Molecule: ribosomal RNA, 207 nt
Filed under: uncultured bacterium
Lineage: Bacteria
Description: partial 16S ribosomal RNA
Rfam family: Bacterial small subunit ribosomal RNA
Source: RNAcentral
UGUGUAGGCGGUUCUUUAAGUUUGGUGUGAAAUCUCCCGGCUCAACCGGGAGGGUGCGCCGAAUACUGAGGGACUAGAGUACGGGAGAGGAAAGUGGAAUUCCUGGUGUAGCGGUGAAAUGCGUAGAUAUCAGGAGGAACACCGGUGGUGUAGACGGCUUUCUGGCCGUAACUGACGCUGAGACACGAAAGCGUGGGUAGCAAACAG